RNAcentral lists this ribosomal RNA (1380 nucleotides) under Vibrio sp. Do-174. RNAcentral describes it as "partial 16S rRNA". It matches the Rfam family "Bacterial small subunit ribosomal RNA", at positions 160 to 1533 of the family's 1533-position model. The record is from RNAcentral. Lineage: Bacteria; Pseudomonadati; Pseudomonadota; Gammaproteobacteria; Vibrionales; Vibrionaceae.
UGGCUAAUACCGCAUAAUGCCUACGGGCCAAAGAGGGGGACCUUCGGGCCUCUCGCGUCAAGAUAUGCCUAGGKGGRAUUAGCGAGUUGGUGAGGUAAUGGCUCACCAAGGYGACGAUCCCUAGCUGGUCUGAGAGGAUGAUYAGMCACACUGGAACUGACACACGGUCCARACUCCUACGGGAGGCAGCARUGGGGAAUAUUGCACAAUGGGCSAAAGCCUGAUGCAGCCAUGCCGCGUGUAUGAAGAAGGCCUUCGGGUUGUAAAGUACUUUCAGUUGUGAGGAAGGGGGUAGUGUUAAUACGCGCUAUCUCUUGACGUUASGCACAGAAGAAGCACCGGCUAACUCCGUGCCAGCAGCCGCGGUAAUACGGAGGGUGCGAGCGUUAAUCGGAAUUACUGGGCGUAAAGCGCAUGCAGGUGGUUCAUUAAGUCAGAUGUGAAAGCCCSGGGCUCAACCUCGGAACUGCAUUUGAAACUGGUGAACUAGAGUWCUGUAGAGGGGGGUAGAAUUUCAGGUGUAGCGGUGAAAUGCGUAGAGAUCUGAAGGAAUACCAGUGGCGAAGGCRGCCCCCUGGACAGAUACUGACACUCAURUGCGAAAGCGUGGGGAGCAAACAGGAUUAGAUACCCUGGUAGUCCACGCCGUAAACGAUGUCUACUUGGAGGUUGUGGCCUUGAGCUGUGGCUUUCGGAGCUAACGCGUUAAGUAGACCGCCUGGGGAGUACGGUCGCAAGAUUAAAACUCAAAUGAAUUGACGGGGGCCCGCACAAGCGGUGGAGCAUGUGGUUUAAUUCGAUGCAACGCGAAGAACCUUACCUACUCUUGACAUCCAGAGAAGCCAGCGGAGAUGCAGGUGUGCCUUCGGGAGCUCUGAGACAGGUGCUGCACGGCUGUCGUCASCUCGUGUUGUGAAAURUUGGGUUAAGUCCCGCAACGAGCGCAACCCUUAUCCKUGUUUGCCAGCGAGUAAWRUCGGGAAACUCCAUGGGAGAGCWSUCGCGGUGGAUAAAACACGGAGAGAAAGAGUGUGGGAGCAGAGCAGUCCAAAGUGCAUUCUAUAGUGCCCCCUCUUAUCAGAGUAUGAGGGGCUAUCACCCACCAGUGGUCUAUCACAWAGUGGCGGCAUCAUCAGAAGAGGUCAGUCAAGACUMUGUCGGAGUAAAGUGUAAGACGGAGAUUACUCCCAAUAUAAAAGUGUCGGUGCUGUGAUGUGUCCGCGGAGUAUUGUGGAGGUGCUCGUCGACAACAUCUGCAGCAUCCUCCACUGUAGAAGAUGCUGCGGAGAAUACUGCCGUCAUGUGAUAUACUGCUGAGGAUACUACGAAGAUAGUCGUAACCGGCGUGUAGAAUAUCAGUGUUCUCCCCGCGGGGCGCCU